CCUUAUUUCUAGUAAAACAUUGUCAAUGUAAAAAAGUGCAAAUAAAUCGGGGAAGCCAUACAUUCGCACACCUUUCUCUGACUGAGUGGAGCAACCCCACGCAGCACAGUAAACCACGGUGGAGACUAUGCAAGGACAACAUGAAAGAAAGGACACAUACAAAAUGCUUGUCAUGCUAUUACAUUUAUUAGAAAUGUA
Molecule: long non-coding RNA, 198 nt
Organism: Carassius auratus (goldfish)
Lineage: Eukaryota; Metazoa; Chordata; Actinopteri; Cypriniformes; Cyprinidae
Exons: 2
Source: RefSeq, a predicted model, not a curated record